AGCAGCCGCGGUAAUUCCAGCUCCAAUAGCGUAUAUUAAAGUUGUUGCAGUUAAAAAGCUCGUAGUUGAAUUUCGGGAUCAGUAGGUUGGUCAUGCCUCUGGUAUGUACUGGUCUCACUGGUUCCUCCUUCCUGAUGAACCGUAAUGCCAUUAAUUUGGUGUUGCGGGGAGACUGGACUGUUACUUUGAAAAAUUGAGUGUUUAAAGCAGGCUUACGCUUGAAUACAUUAGCAUGGAAUAAUGAAAUAGGACGUUCGAUCCUAUUUUGUUGGUUUCUAGGAUUGACGUAAUGAUUAAUAGGGAUAGUUGGGGGCAUUAGUAUUCAAUUGUCAGAGGUGAAAUUCUUGGAUUUUAUUGAAGACUAACUACUGCGAAAGCAUUUGCCAAGGAUGUUUUCAUUAAUCAAGAACGAAAGUUAGGGGAUCGAAGACGAU
Molecule: ribosomal RNA, 434 nt
Filed under: uncultured Glomus
Lineage: Eukaryota; Fungi; Glomeromycota; Glomeromycetes; Glomerales; Glomeraceae
Description: SSU rRNA
Rfam family: Eukaryotic small subunit ribosomal RNA
Source: RNAcentral